This 253-nucleotide ribosomal RNA is filed under the name uncultured bacterium. Its description in RNAcentral is "partial 16S ribosomal RNA". It matches the Rfam family "Bacterial small subunit ribosomal RNA", at positions 524 to 776 of the family's 1533-position model. The record is from RNAcentral.
UACAGAGGGUGCAAGCGUUACUCGGAAUUACUGGGCGUAAAGGGUGCGUAGGUGGUUUUUUAAGUCCGUUGUGAAAUCCCUGGGCUCAACCUGGGAAUGGCAGUGGAUACUGGAAAGCUAGAGUGCGGUAGAGGGUAGUGGAAUUCCCGGUGUAGCAGUGAAAUGCGUAGAGAUCGGGAGGAACACCAGUGGCGAAGGCGGCUACCUGGACCAUAACUGACGCUGAUGCGCGAAAGCUAGGGGAGCAAACAGG